RNAcentral lists this ribosomal RNA (449 nucleotides) under uncultured bacterium. RNAcentral's name for it is "bacterial SSU rRNA". It matches the Rfam family "Bacterial small subunit ribosomal RNA", at positions 328 to 794 of the family's 1533-position model. The record is from RNAcentral.
GAACCAGACUCCUACGGGAGGCAGCAGUAGGGAAUAUUGCUCAAUGGGGGAAACCCUGAUGCAGCGACGCCGCGUGGGUGAAGAAGCGCCUCGGCGCGUAAAGCCCUGUCAGCAGGGAAGAAAAUGACGGUACCUGAAGAGGAAGCCCCGGCUAACUACGUGCCAGCAGCCGCGGUAAUACGUAUGGAGCAAGCGUUAUCCGGAUUUACUGGGCGUAAAGGGAGCGUAGGCGGCCUGCUAAGUCUGAUGUGAAAUACCGGGGCUCAACCCCGGGGCUGCAUUGGAAACUGGCAGGCUGGAGUGCCGGAGAGGCAGGCGGAAUUCCUAGUGUAGCGGUGAAAUGCGUAGAUAUUAGGAGGAACACCAGUGGCGAAGGCGGCCUGCUGGACGGUGACUGACGCUGAGGCUCGAAAGCGUGGGGAGCAAACGGGAUUAGAUACCCGGGUAAC